RNAcentral lists this ribosomal RNA (275 nucleotides) under uncultured bacterium. RNAcentral describes it as "partial 16S ribosomal RNA". It matches the Rfam family "Bacterial small subunit ribosomal RNA", at positions 506 to 784 of the family's 1533-position model. The record is from RNAcentral.
UGCCAGCCGCCGCGGUAAUACGGAGGGGGCUAGCGUUGUUCGGAAUUACUGGGCGUAAAGCGCGCGUAGGCGGGCUGUUAAGUCGGGGGUGAAAUCCCGGGGCUCAACCCCGGAACUGCCUCCGAUACUGGCAGCCUAGAGAUCGAGGUAGGCGGAAUUUAUGGUGUAGCGGUGAAAUGCAUAGAUACCAUAAAGAACACCGAUAGCGAAGGCAGCUUACUAGGCUGAGACUGACGCUGAGGCACGAAAGCGUGGGGAGCGAACAGGAUUAGAUA